This is a long non-coding RNA of Pezoporus flaviventris, 3050 nucleotides long. RefSeq lists it as uncharacterized. Lineage: Eukaryota; Metazoa; Chordata; Aves; Psittaciformes; Psittacidae. The transcript has 6 exons. The record is from RefSeq and is a predicted model, not a curated record.
GCAUCUUUUUAGGAGCAGACAUUUUCAUAUUUUUUUGCCAGUGUUCUGAGUGCUUUGUUUUACUUUUAAUGUAGUAAGUCAAAGUAAAUUUUACAGAUUCACAGGCUCAGCUAUCUGAAAUAUGAUCAUCUGUCAGAAGCCCUCAGUGGGACAAUUACAGCCCCCACAUCCUCCCACAGCAAACAUGAUUAUGGGAGAAGAAUGCUUGAGGUCUGCAACUGAGAUUAGUAAAUGUGAAGUACUCUUGCUUCAGUCUUCACAAAAUCACCUGCUACAAGUCUUGGUAAUGAGAUAGAAAUAUCAGGACUGGAAGUUGGUUACAAAUAGAACCUUUGUCAUCUUAAACUACUUAACAGCAAUGGAUGAAAUAUGUGAGAAUUUCACUAAUUCAUAAUUUAAUAAUCAGGCAUUUUAUAAUUUGCCUGAGAAGAAAUUGUAUCUUAUCUUCAUCCGUCAGUGAAGAUUUAAGAGCUGUGUGCCCUGAGCUUUCAUUUCAGCAACAAUUCUUGCCCAAAACACAACCCCAUGCAUAUUUAUGAAUGUUUUAUAGAAUAGAAGCAUAACUCGGUUCUUAGGAUUUCACAGCAAAUCUCAAAAGUUUUCACUAUUAACUAGUUUAUUCUUUGCAUAUGCACGCAGUACAUUUUGUCCUCUGCUAUAUUAUCCUUGUGAAGUAUUUGUAUGUAAUGGAAAAUAAAAUGCUUAAAUGUAGCCGAGUGCUUGAAUUCACAGGUCUUGAAUGCUACUGGGAAUCCAGCCUUGUGUUUUGACUCGCAGCCUUCUCUCUACCAGUAAUAGUUCUUCUUGACUGGUGAGCUGCUAAUCCCAAACUGAAAUCACCGAUCAUUUGCAAGCCUAGAAUACAGUUCGCUUUCAAGUUGCACCAGAAAUCUUGCAUUUGGUAAUCUUCAUUAACAUAGAUACACUAAUGCCAGAUCUUGGGCACUCUACAAGUGAUGAUGAGGUGCAGAUCCUCGCAAAGUGUCUGAUGGUUCAUCAAACAUUUGCAGAAGGCUUGUUUUUCCAGACAAAGGCAGGAUGGACGUGGGGAUUGGAGAUGUAAAAAAUGCAUAGUGGAGUGCACAGUGCUUUUGAAAUCUGCUGAUGGAAGAACUGUGCUGUGAGCCAUGACCUGGAAGCUGCAGAGCAGCAAAUAAAGGUAAUAGUAAUGUUACAGGUAUGUGUUGACCCAUCAUGGUUCAACUGUGAUACAGUUGCAACUUGGCUGAACAAAGGGAAGUAUUUUUUUCUACUUGGCUGCUCAGCACACAAGCACAGACUGAUUGGCAAAGCUGGAAAAAGGUUUGUCUUUAAGAAGAAAUAAAACAACAGCUUAUUUAGCAGAGAAGCAAGAGGUGAGUUUUACUUUACAAUCUUAAGGGACAAGGUUGAGGCAAUCCCCUAAUGUUGUUAGCAUGGCACAAUAUCUUGUGUUUGAAGACUUGCAGAAAGGUAUCUCAUGUGAUGACUAAUCUCACUUAUCUUUUUCUAUUUGUCCAUCACCAGAACUGUGGUGUCUGGGGACAGGUGGUGUCCUUAGGCCUAAGCCAUCCUAUGUUUGUUUGUUCCAUCCAGCUAGGAUGGCAGUGAAGCUAAACCUGGAGAGUAGAGUCUUGUUCCUACUGAGCUGAGAACAGUAGGACUUGUCAAGGUGAGUUGUCUGAUAACCUUGGACCUCUUUGAGGAGACGAUAAUUGUACUUUGGUCUGAACAGAGAGACUUGUGGUCAAGUCAUGUUUUCAGUUCCAAUGGUGGCUCAGUAGCUUGACUGUAUGGACAUCUGGAUUAGAGGCAGAGAUCAUUUUGACUCUCAGUAUUAUCCCCCUAUAUUGAAAAGUUGCUUUUAGGUGACCUCCCACUGAAAGAUAAAUAGGCCUUUUUGGAGCUCUCCUUUUGCCUUAUCUGUAGUUGAGAGAAGUCUGCUGGACAGUGGUAUUCCUGUAUUGCUAGUGAGUUUUUUUCUAAUUGGAUUUCAGGGCUUUGUACUGAAAGUGAAGUUCAGCUGUUGAAGGAUAGUGGGGGAGAUUCUGAAACUGAAUGGGUAAACAUAUGCUGGGACUCUUUUAUUAGAGAGAUUCCUUGCUUGGCCCUAAGGAAUAAGAGGAAUCCAAAAGAUGUAUUUCACUUAGCUGUCAUGAGUGCUAAAGGAGGUCCCAUAAAGGGGGGAAUAUUUUAUUCUAUCAAUUUGGCAGACUAAUGACUGUCUUGCUCAGAGGGAUUAUUUCAAUGAAGAAUGGAAGUCAGCUCUCAGGGGAGAUGGAAAUGAAUGACAUGAAGAGAUACUGAUUCAUAAUUAAUUCUGUUCAAGACAUGAUCAUGCACAAUAUUAUAUAAUGUUGCACAAAUGUAAUUUGAAAGCACUAUAUGGUGACUCACAAAUCCUAUAUUCCCACCAUUUUAAAGCAUUCCAUUAGGUGAUUCUUUUCCUUAUAGGUGCUGAAUUACUUAAAGUAGCAAAACCACUCCAUUUUGUGUCAGAGAUCCUCUUGGUUGUUAAGUAUAACUCUUGCAUGUCUCCAUCUACUUCAAAACUGUUUCUGUUUCAGCUUUACGAGGUGACAAGCCAAAGUGUCUAACAAAACAUCACUAGCUAUCAUUUACUAUUGGCCAUGGCAGAUGCUUGGAAAGGUCAGUUAGCACACUGGUUUUUCCUGUUUCAUUCAUUGAAGUUCCCUUCUUUUGUAAUGAAAAUAUUUGUAUGUGUGUAGAGUGAAUAAUAUGAAUCCUCACUGGAGUGUUGGUAGAUGCUGUAUGCUUUAUGCUCCUGCAUUUUUGUUUUCCUAUUCAUCUUAUCUGGUAAUAGGUGAUGUGUUUUAAUCCCCAGAGUUCAAGUGCACCUAUUAACAUCAGCACAAGCUAUAACAUACUAAAAGCCUUUUGAUGGCUGCUGUCACCAGUACUGCCACUAAGAAAAGCCCAAAGUCUGAGUUAGGACGUUUUUAAUUGCCUUUUCCAAUUGAGAACUGGAAAACUGCCUGUAAGAAAGGGGAGGUGACAAUGUUUCAUCCUCUCUAGCUAGAAUAGCUUUCUGCAGCCUCACAUCUGUGAUC